CCUGUGCCCUGGCACUGCAUAGAUGCCACCAAUCCUGUUGCACCAUAGUGAGAACUCCUAUUUAUGGAUCUUUACAGUGUGGUUCCUAUGGACUUCUGUGUCUAAUGAAGAGGAAGACUACAUUCUGGAAUCUUCCAGGAACAGGUGUAUUUGACCACACACUGGGGGAAGUGGGGGAAGUAAAGACCUGAGCUUUGAGGAAGUCAAGCUGGAGGCCCUCAGAGGUGGUUAUUUAUAUCAGAGUGAUGUGUAUUGAAAGCCAAAGACUUUCAUUCCCCCACCAUCACGGAGCUGAUUUAGAGAAGAGGAAGGGCGUGUAUUUCGCCUUCUUAAAUAUCUGCUGCAAGAACUUCUGGUGUGGGUCAGACUGCUCAUGAUCCAUGCACAGGCUUUAUGGUAGAUGAAAGGGUGUGUCAUCAAUCUUGUUUCAACUACUUUGUACAUAAAAUGGCUAACUUCUCAUUGGUUGACAGACUGUGUGACUUCAUUCUUAUUUCCUUUCGCAAGAUGCUCCCUAUAUACCCCCCAUGUGAACAGCCUGUUGUGCAUGUUUGGGGUGGGGGAGGAAGGACCUUACAUUGUCUAAGCUCAAAAUAAGAAAAUCAGACUCUAACAACAACCCAAAACAAUGCAUUAGAAACUCUUGUGGUGCCACUAACAUAAAUGAAGUCUCACAUAAUUAGCUUUCAUUUUAUAUCUCUUGCAUUGUAAAAUCCCUCCCUGCCCACACCCCACCCCCAUUCAGGCUCUUUUGGUUAUGAGAAAUGAGUGUGUUUUAGGACCAACAUGUCAGAAUUAUGAGGAAGAAACUUGGCAGUGGAACAAACUAUGUGAUACGCUUGACAAGAACUGAGAAACGACCCAUUUCAGGUUUUCUGAGGCAGCCUUUCAUUUUUGGUUCAGCAAUAUAGCCCAGAAGCCACAGAAUGGGAAGCACCGUUGCCAGCACCAUGAGGGUCAUAAAGAGUAAGUCUUUACUAAGGAACCAACGCAGGAGAUUUCUGUACAGAAAAAUGAGGUGUCUGUAGGAGAAGAACUUAGUCCUGCGUCCACCAAGGGGCCCAGUCACAUUGGGAUGGAAGUCCUCAUCCUCAGGCUCAGAGUGGUGAAUGGGAGGCGUGCCUUGCUCAGCCCCAGAGUGGAGACAAAUGGGUGUGGAAUUCACCAUAAUCUAUGGCAAGAAAUGGCCCUUACCCAUGGGAUUGAGAAUAUUAAUGCCAGGAAGAGGUCAGACAUUGAUAUUGAAGAGCAGACCUGUGUUGGAAUGAAUGCAGUUCUAGGGCGAGACUGGUGAAUGAAGAAGGAAACGAAAGAUCAAUGUGAUGGUUAGAUCUUCAGCUAUUGAGUCAUGUAGUGAAUUUGAAAAUGGAAGCCAUAUCCUAAGGACAGCAGAACAAAAAGAUAGAGGAAACCUGGAACAUUGAUGACUCUGUAGCUCCCAUACCACUCAGAAUUCAGCCUUCCUUUGUAUGAGAAAUAAGAUAUUAUCUUAUUGAAGCUACUAUUAUUUCCUCCUUCACCUGGGACAUCACAAGCCUAGGGAUCUUUGGAAGGUUUCAAACAAAGAGUGAAGAAUUAGGGAUUUUAUUUGUUUAGUUUUUGGUUGUUUAUUUUUUAAGUUAAAUAGGCUGUAAAAUAAAAGUGUUUUAAUUUGAAAAAAUAGUCUCUGAGCUCUAUCAUAAAAGGAAUCAAGGGGUUAUAUAUUAUUGUAUUAUGUAUUUAUUUGGCUUAAACAAAAAGAGGGUUUUAUUUGCUUAUGUAAUUGAGAAAUCCAGAAGUUGGGUGGGCUUAGGUAAGGCCAUCUCUAGUAGCUGGAUAAGCCAACCAAGAUUCAGUGUCUUUCCAUUUCUUCUGAGUCUCCCACGGUUUUUCUUAGAUUGUCUCAUCUACUGACCACAAAAGCCCAGAAGCCCUUGGCAAAGUCUCCUUAUAUCUGGACCAGGGGGCUCUCCCCAAACCAGUCACUGUGGCUAGGGUAGCUAGCACACUAGAAUCUCUGGAUGGUUUGUACUUACCAAACUCCACCCAGAAAACUUCGGUUAGGUUAAUUCCUCUCAACUGCAUGGCUGGGAAGGAG
This is a non-coding RNA of Sus scrofa (pig), 2077 nucleotides long. The record is from RefSeq and is a predicted model, not a curated record. Lineage: Eukaryota; Metazoa; Chordata; Mammalia; Artiodactyla; Suidae.